RNAcentral lists this ribosomal RNA (253 nucleotides) under uncultured bacterium. RNAcentral's name for it is "partial 16S ribosomal RNA". It matches the Rfam family "Bacterial small subunit ribosomal RNA", at positions 524 to 776 of the family's 1533-position model. The record is from RNAcentral.
UACGUAGGGCGCAAGCGUUGUCCGGAAUUAUGGUGCGUAAAGAGCUCGUAGGCGGCCUGUUGCGUCCGCUGUGAAAUCCCGGGGCUCAACCCCGGGCCUGCAGUGGAUACGGGCUGGCUAGAGGCAGGCAGGGGAGAACGGAAUUCCUGGUGUAGCGGUGAAAUGCGCGGAUAUCAGGAGGAACACCGGUGGCGAAGGCGGUUCUCUGGGCCUGUACUGACGCUGAGGAGCGAAAGCGUGGGGAGCGAACAGG